UGCAGGCUCAGCACGCCUCUUAGAGGCUCCAGGCACCUUCCUGUUUUCUUCUGCCACUUGGGAGCCUCACCUUAGCAAACAAAACGCUUUACUGCUGCAGACGGAUUCCUUUGCGGAGACCCCGCGUCUGAGUCCGGGAGCAUGCGCGGGACUGGUUUUGGGCCCCCCUGAAACUUGCUGCAGAGACUAGGGACAUGGAGGAGGAGGGAAAAGGAGCAUUGAAAAGCAGAGAAAGGAAAGGCGCUGGAUUGGAUUGGUGAGGGGACUGAAGGGCAGGAAGGCGUGUCAACAAUAAAUCCCAACAAGUCCCAAA
Long non-coding RNA from Ornithorhynchus anatinus (platypus), 313 nucleotides. RefSeq lists it as uncharacterized. Lineage: Eukaryota; Metazoa; Chordata; Mammalia; Monotremata; Ornithorhynchidae. The transcript has 3 exons. The record is from RefSeq and is a predicted model, not a curated record.